RNAcentral lists this ribosomal RNA (468 nucleotides) under uncultured bacterium. RNAcentral's name for it is "partial 16S ribosomal RNA". It matches the Rfam family "Bacterial small subunit ribosomal RNA", at positions 28 to 506 of the family's 1533-position model. The record is from RNAcentral.
GACGAACGCUGGCGGCGUGCUUAACACAUGCAAGUCGAACGGAAAGGCCCUGCUUUUGUGGGGUGCUCGAGUGGCGAACGGGUGAGUAACACGUGAGUAACCUGCCCUUGACUUUGGGAUAACUUCAGGAAACUGGGGCUAAUACCGGAUAGGAGCUCCUGCUGCAUGGUGGGGGGUUGGAAAGUUUCGGCGGUUGGGGAUGGACUCGCGGCUUAUCAGCUUGUUGGUGGGGUAGUGGCUUACCAAGGCUUUGACGGGUAGCCGGCCUGAGAGGGUGACCGGCCACAUUGGGACUGAGAUACGGCCCAGACUCCUACGGGAGGCAGCAGUGGGGAAUAUUGCACAAUGGGCGGAAGCCUGAUGCAGCAACGCCGCGUGCGGGAUGACGGCCUUCGGGUUGUAAACCGCUUUCGCCUGUGACGAAGCGUGAGUGACGGUAAUGGGGAAAGAAGCACCGGCUAACUACGU